UUAUUUUAUAUAUUUUUCUGUGGCAUUAAAUUCAAGUAAUUUGAAUUGCCAAUCCAACAGUCGAUGUGUGGAAGUGCAGAUCUGACUUUUAAAAUGUUGGUUAGAACACGGGACUAAUAUGAAGUUAGGCCAUAAAAAUUUUGGGACUGGUUUGGCAUUUUGAUGAACUGUAACAGUAACAGGCUCUUCUUUUUCACAUGUUCUUCCUCCCUUGUGGUGGGGGGAGACAUUCCAUGGCGUUUGUUGAUGGCAGCGGACUUGUGACCUAACCCCCUCCCCCUCGCCCCUACCAUUCAUUCAUUCAUUCAUUCUCGGUCUUGUUUUUUGGCGCUGUUAUUUGUUUUCCGGUUUUUACUCUCUAAUCACUGGGCCCGUUAUAUAGUAGGUGGAUCUUUUUGGCAUUUUAUAUUGAUGAAAAUAAUUUGUUUCCGUGGUGGAAAUUGGUGGCAUGUUACUGGCGGGCCCACCCAUUCUCUAUUGAGAAGCGGGACAUUGUUGUUUGGCAGAGAAUCCGAGGCAAAGGCGGGAUUCACUUUUAUCCACGUGGCAGUGAUCAGAGUUAGUUAUUAGGUGUUUAUGAAGCUGGUUUAUUUUAAUUACUUCUUUUUUGGGCCCCUCUUUCUUCAUUGGCUUGCUUUUUUAGCAAGGAAACAAAGUUGAAGGGGAAAGCAGCGUGACGUGGCCGCUUUGGGCAAAAGCGACCCUUGGUUUGGUAAAGCAACGUUACAGCUGGACAAAUGGGUGUUUUUUUAUAGGAAAAUAAUAUGCGUUGUGUCAAAGCCUCCAUGCUCGCUCAAUCCUAUACACAUUCGUUGAGCC
RNAcentral lists this long non-coding RNA (819 nucleotides) under Amborella trichopoda. RNAcentral's name for it is "long non-coding RNA (ATRI_LNC004807)". The record is from RNAcentral. Lineage: Eukaryota; Viridiplantae; Streptophyta; Magnoliopsida; Amborellales; Amborellaceae.